UUUUUUUUUUUUUUUUUUGUCGACACUGAGGUGUCCGGGUCAAGACCAGAAGGCGGCCCGACUAAUCCCCAGCGGCCCGGGAGGAGAGGCCCCAUCCCCCCAAGCACGGUAACCCUGCACGACUCGAACCCCUGGCAAGCGCUCCUAAGGAGGCGUGCGCUGCCAGAUGAGCUGCCCAGGAGGGGCCCCAAAUAUAAAAUGUAUGCUCAGGUAUGACUUCCAGAAUUUCCCAUUUGAAUAGUAUCAUAAUGCAGAGCUUGAAAAAAGGGAUAAUUUCAGAAGCCUCACCCAAGGUUUCUUAUAAUACCAUUCAGCUCUCCUGAAGUUUUUAAAAUCUCACAUACCUUCCUUAAAUUGAUAUUUUUUUUGUAACAUUUUAACCCCUUUGGAGAAAAUACAAGAAAGAUAAAACUUUUUGUUCCAAUACUACCCUUAUAUUAUCCUACUUAUGAAAUUUAUAACAACAAUAAAAGAAUAAAAUAAGGCUAAAUUUUUAUAAGGUGUAAAUUUCUUGACAUAAACUAUAUAUUUUAGUUGUAUUGGAACAAAAGCAAAAUUUACACUUUGAAAAAUUCAUACAUAUGAAGGGAUUUUUUUAGUUUUCAAUAUAACUUAAACUACACCAUGAAUUAAAACACAUUUCCCCAAAAAGUAUCUUGACUUCCUUAAUUGUAAUUGUGCACAAAAUUUUUUGAGGUGUUAAUUACUCUCUAAAAUCCUCCUAAAUGGUUAAUCUUGAUUAGAUUUAAUUUAUUCAUACCAUUUGCUAUUCCACCAUAACGUCAAUGUAAGAAAAUAUGGACCAUUAUUAGCUAGCAAUUUGUUUUUGUAAUUUACAUUUUUCGCCUUUUAAAAUUUUAUUUUGUUUUGGUUUUUUGAUUAAAUAGUUAUUAAGAGCAAGGGUAAUUUUGUGAAUUUGUGACCUUUGAUAAGAACAUUUAGUCUUGUCAAGCUGACAAGGGAGGUAAGUGAAAUUUUAAAAAAUUGAGCGAACCUGAGUAAUAUUAUGGCAAACCUCAGGGGAGGUUUCUGAAAUUAUCCCUUGAAAAAAUAUUCAACUCCCUUGCGCCAAAAAGAGAAAAAACCAAUCCCAUAACCUUCAAGGAGCAAUCAAUAGACAUGCAGCUUUGAGAAGUUUAACCUAAUAUCUGGUGAUUAUUAAUCAAAAGAAACUAAUAAUGUGUCGGUUCCCCUUUUGAUUUGGGUUCAAUGCUCUAUCUUUGUUCUGUCCUUCCUCUAUCAAGUUAACUUGAUACUGUUUCUUUCUAGGCCUUCCCAAAUAAACCUCAGAAAAAUAUCAUACCUACUACAAAGUCUAAUCUGGAUGUAAUUGCGAACACCCCUUUUUCUAUCUAUCCUAAUUGACACAAUAUUGGGAAAAAUAACUUCAGUAUUUUCCUUUGCUUGCCGGCCUGGCGUAGCUUGCUUAUUAGUAUUACUGUGUUAUACGAAUUCUCUUGCGAGAAAAUUGCAGCCUAGUUAACUCUUAUAAUCUUGGCAGAGCAUGUAGACCCCCCGCCCCAAAAAAAAAAAAAAAAACCCGUUUCUGGCUAUCAUAUGGGACAUUGAAGGGACGAAGCCGUACAAAAGCUAUAGCUGCGCGAAAGAUCAAAAGCAAUGCAUUUGGAUUCCUCAAUCUUUUAUUGUGCCUUCUGAUUUUUCUUAGCAAGAAAGGGGUACUUCUACUUCAAAUUAAAAUUCCAACUACUUUCAACUUUAUGGUGCCUUCGCGUCUGGUUGGACCUCGGGCAAUUCUUCCCUAGUAAUGAGCAUGAACCACAACGACACUGAACCAGAAAGCCAUUACCAGACUGGAAUGAUUGGUGCAACAACAAUUGG
RNAcentral lists this long non-coding RNA (1839 nucleotides) under Coffea arabica (coffee). RNAcentral's name for it is "long non-coding RNA (CARA_LNC007016)". Lineage: Eukaryota; Viridiplantae; Streptophyta; Magnoliopsida; Gentianales; Rubiaceae. The record is from RNAcentral.